Molecule: transfer RNA, 75 nt
Filed under: Thermus thermophilus
Lineage: Bacteria; Thermotogati; Deinococcota; Deinococci; Thermales; Thermaceae
Also listed under: 2 other names
Description: tRNA-Ala
Rfam family: tRNA
About the family: Transfer RNA (tRNA) molecules are approximately 80 nucleotides in length. Their secondary structure includes four short double-helical elements and three loops (D, anti-codon, and T loops).
Source: RNAcentral
GGGGCGGUAGCUCAGAGGGAGAGCACCCGCCUUGCAAGCGGGAGGUCCGGGGUUCAAGUCCCCGCCGCUCCACCA